UACGAAGGGAGCGAGCGUUGUUCGGAAUCACUGGGCGUAAAGCGUGCGUAGGCGGUUAUACAAGUCAGGAGUGAAAUCCCAGAGCUUAACUUUGGAAUUGCUCUUGAAACUGUAUGACUAGAGUCCCGGAGGGGUAGAUGGAAUUCCGAGUGUAGAGGUGAAAUUCGCAGAUAUUCGGAGGAACACCAGUGGCGAAGGCGAUCUACUGGACGGGCACUGACGCUGAGGUACGAAAGCGUGGGGAUCAAACAGG
This 253-nucleotide ribosomal RNA is filed under the name uncultured bacterium. Its description in RNAcentral is "partial 16S ribosomal RNA". It matches the Rfam family "Bacterial small subunit ribosomal RNA", at positions 524 to 776 of the family's 1533-position model. The record is from RNAcentral.